CACGCCGUAAACGAUGAGUACUAGGUGUGGGAGGUAUCGACCCCUUCCGUGCCGGAGUUAACGCAAUAAGUAUCCCGCCUGGGGAGUACGGCCGCAAGGCUGAAACUCAAAGGAAUUGACGGGGACCCGCACAAGCGGUGGAGUAUGUGGUUUAAUUCGACGCAACGCGAAGAACCUUACCAGGGCUUGACAUUGAGUGAAAGACUAAGAGAUUAGUUCCUCAUCUUCGGAUGACACAAAAACAGGUGG
This 249-nucleotide ribosomal RNA is filed under the name uncultured bacterium. Its description in RNAcentral is "partial 16S ribosomal RNA". It matches the Rfam family "Bacterial small subunit ribosomal RNA", at positions 796 to 1041 of the family's 1533-position model. The record is from RNAcentral.